RNAcentral lists this ribosomal RNA (497 nucleotides) under uncultured bacterium. RNAcentral describes it as "partial 16S ribosomal RNA". It matches the Rfam family "Bacterial small subunit ribosomal RNA", at positions 28 to 507 of the family's 1533-position model. The record is from RNAcentral.
GAUGAACGCUGGCGGCGUGCCUAAUACAUGCAAGUCGAGCGAACAGAUGAGGAGCUUGCUCCUCUGACUUUAUCGGCGGACGGGUGAGUAACACGUGGAUAACCUACCUAUAAGACUGGGAUAACUUCGGGAAACCGGAGCUAAUACCGGAUAAUAUAUUGAACCGCAUGGUUCAAUAGUGAAAGACGGUUUUGCUGUCACUUAUAGAUGGAUCCGCGCCGCAUUAGCUAGUUGGUAAGGUAACGGCUUACCAAGGCAACGAUGCGUAGCCGACCUGAGAGGGUGAACCGCCACAUGGGCACUGAGACAGGGCAGCGACUCCUACGGGAAGAAGCAGUAGGGAAUCCUCCGCAAUGGGCGAAAGCCUGACGGAGCAACGCCGCGUGAGUGAUGAAGGUCUAAGGAUCGGAAAACUCUGAUAUUAGGGAAGAACAAAUGUGUAAGUACCUAUGCACGUCUUGACGGUACCUAAUCAGAAAGCCACGGCUAACUACGUG